RNAcentral lists this ribosomal RNA (481 nucleotides) under uncultured bacterium. RNAcentral describes it as "bacterial SSU rRNA". It matches the Rfam family "Bacterial small subunit ribosomal RNA", at positions 501 to 985 of the family's 1533-position model. The record is from RNAcentral.
CUACGUGCCAGCAGCCGCGGUAAUACGGAAGGUCCGGGCGUUAUCCGGAUUUAUUGGGUUUAAAGGGAGCGUAGGCCGGAGAUUAAGUGUGUUGUGAAAUGUAGACGCUCAACGUCUGACUUGCAGCGCAUACUGGUUUCCUUGAGUACGCACAACGUUGGCGGAAUUCGUCGUGUAGCGGUGAAAUGCUUAGAUAUGACGAAGAACUCCGAUUGCGAAGGCAGCUGACGGGAGCGCAACUGACGCUUAAGCUCGAAGGUGCGGGUAUCGAACAGGAUUAGAUACCCUGGUAGUCCGCACAGUAAACGAUGGAUGCUCGCUGUUGGUACCUGGUAUCAGCGGCUAAGCGAAAGCAUUAAGCAUCCCACCUGGGGAGUACACCGGCAACGGUGAAACUCAAAGGAAUUGACGGGGGCCCGCACAAGCGGAGGAACAUGUGGUUUAAUUCGAUGAUACGCGAGGAACCUUACCCGGGCUUGAA